CCUGGUGGGAUUGCUGGCAACUCUGACCAGCGACUGCCUGGCCACGUCCCGCCAGAGGGCAUGGGUCUGCCUUGGCUACCUUCUCCAAAUGCAAGCCAGGACCAUGGAGGUGGUGCCUCAGGCAGAUGAGAUCAGGUGCCUUGGUGAGGAGCUGAACAGCCCAGACACCGUGCAGACCUGUGCCAAAAUAGCAAAGGCUGUUUGCAAGUGCAUCCCUCCAGCGCAGGCUACAGACUUUCUGAC
This is a long non-coding RNA of Gavia stellata (red-throated loon), 243 nucleotides long. RefSeq lists it as uncharacterized. The transcript is spliced from 3 exons. Lineage: Eukaryota; Metazoa; Chordata; Aves; Gaviiformes; Gaviidae. The record is from RefSeq and is a predicted model, not a curated record.